GAUCCUGGCUCAGAAUCAACGCUGGCGGCGUGCCUAACACAUGCAAGUCGAACGCGAAAGCCCCGCAAGGGGUGAGUAGAGUGGCAAACGGGUGAGUAACACGUGGGUGACCUGCCUUCGAGUGGGGGAUAACGUCCCGAAAGGGACGCUAAUACCGCAUGACAUCCUGCCUUUGGAAAGGCGGAGAUCAAAGCUGGGGAUCGCAAGACCUGGCGCUUGACGAGGGGCCCGCGCCUGAUUAGCUAGUUGGUGGGGUAAUGGCUCACCAAGGCGACGAUCAGUAUCCGGCCUGAGAGGGCGGACGGACACACUGGGACUGAGACACGGCCCAGACUCCUACGGCAGGCAGCAGUGGGGAAUUGUUCGCAAUGGGCGCAAGCCUGACGACGCAACGCCGCGUGGAGGACGAAGAUCUUCGGGUCGUAAACUCCUGUCGAGCGGGAAGAAGGCUCCGCGGGUGAAUAGCCUGCGGAAGCGACGGUACCGCUAAAGGAAGCCCCGGCUAACUCCGUGCCAGCAGCCGCGGUAAUACGGGGGGGGCAAGCGUUGUUCGGAAUUACUGGGCGUAAAGGGCUCGUAGGCGGCCAACUAAGUCAGAUGUGAAAUCCCCAGGCUCAACCUGGGAACUGCAUCUGAUACUGGAUGGCUUGAAUCCGGGAGAGGGAUGCAGAAUUCCAGGUGUAGCGGUGA
Molecule: ribosomal RNA, 690 nt
Filed under: uncultured Acidobacteriota bacterium
Lineage: Bacteria; Pseudomonadati; Acidobacteriota
Description: bacterial SSU rRNA
Rfam family: Bacterial small subunit ribosomal RNA
Source: RNAcentral